RNAcentral lists this long non-coding RNA (204 nucleotides) under Musa acuminata (dwarf banana). RNAcentral describes it as "long non-coding RNA (MACU_LNC008331)". Lineage: Eukaryota; Viridiplantae; Streptophyta; Magnoliopsida; Zingiberales; Musaceae. The record is from RNAcentral.
AAUUAAGCCAAACCAGUGAAUCGGAGAGCCAGGCGGUGGCACCGCCCAGCACCCGAGAGCUGGGCGGUGACACCUCCUGGGCUGGGCGGUUGCACCGUCCAGCACCCGAGCGCUGGGCGGUGGCACCGCCAGCAUCGGGAACAUAAGAGAAUUCAAAUUUUUUGGAGCCCAAAUUUGAAUCCUCUUGAGGCCUAUAAAUACCCC